UUAUAAGUUUAUAUAAGUUCAUUUAAUAUUCAGUCUUCUGUCAGUUUGGGCCAGCCCACCUUCUAGUGACAUCAUCCGGUUAGUAAGGUGGGCAGUUUAAUGUCGGAUGAGCAGUGUUGGUCUGGAGGGGUUGCACUAAUUCCUGGGGAAUGUUAUGUGUGCGUAAAUGACAAGAAACCACACAUACACACCUAUGUACACCUGCUGUGUUUACAGCCCCAGGAAUUGAGUGGCGACAAUAAAGUGCCGCAAACUGAACCUCAAGCUCCCUUCUUCUUUCCCGCUCUGGGACAAUUUGGCCUCAAGUGGUUUUCUGGCCGACACACCGGGGUGACCGUAGUGCUCCAAGGUUGAAUCAGUGCCACAGCCGUGCCGAUCUUUGAUAUCUCCACUAUACUACAGUAACACUGGAAGGCCAUCAGCGCCCCCUGGUGCUGCCUUUGUUUAUCACAGUGAGAAAUGAAGCUUCCAGGCUGACGUGUGACUGAACACGUGCACCUCGGGGGCUGCCCUCAGAUUCAGACCUCAGCACCACCCAGUGACAGCAGACAGAUCAUCCAACAU
Molecule: long non-coding RNA, 564 nt
Organism: Oreochromis aureus
Lineage: Eukaryota; Metazoa; Chordata; Actinopteri; Cichliformes; Cichlidae
Exons: 3
Source: RefSeq, a predicted model, not a curated record